GUUCCUGGCCCUUGCCUGCUCGUGGAGCGAGAGGGCCAGGUCAGCAGCAGCGGGUUGGGUGGCUGCAACUGCACCAGGGAGGGCAGAUCCUGCCUGUUCCCAGCCCCUUCCAAGAGCACAGGAAGGCUCGGAUCCACAGCUGCAGUUUUGGCUGAUGUAGCCCCGCUACGUAUUGCAGGAGGGUGGGGCUCCUGCCUGUUACGUGAAGCAGGGGGCCUGGAUCUGCUGCCGAGGUUUGAGGUUUGGGCGGCUGCAGUGGCACCCGGGAAGUUUCUGCCCCAAAUCAGAAGGAGUGGGGCUCCCACUGACUCCACAGAGUGUGCAGCCCCAGCCCUCCUCUCUGCUGCAGCCGGGGUAAUGGCAGCAGCUGUUGCCAUCAACUGCAUUUGGAAAUAGAACCUUAAAAGAGGUACUUAAGUUAAAAUGUGGUUUUAGGGUGGGUUCUAACUCAAUACCACUGUGCCCUUAUAAAAAGAGGAGAUUAGGACACAGUCGACAAAGAGGAUGACCAUGUGAGGACGCAGCAAAAAGGCGACCACCUGGGAGCCAAGGAGAGAGGCCUCAGAAGAAACAAAACCUGCCAACCCCUUGAACUCAGACUCUCAGCCUCCAAAAUUGUGAGAAAAUUCUUCUGUUGUUUAAACCAUCCAGUCUGUAGCAUUUUGCUAUGGCAGCCGUAGAAAACUCAUACAAAGGGUAACAGCAAGAGUCUAUUUGUCAAGAUUUCUCCCUAAAGCCCUUUGGCUACUCAGGAAGGCCCUGCGUGAAACUUGCCAAGGAUUCCAUAUGACAGGUUCUCACUCUGUCACCCAGUGGCACAGGCUGGAAGGCAAUGAUGUGAUCACAACUCACUGAAGCCUUGAACUCCUGAACUCAAGAGAUCCUCCCUUCAGCCUCCCGAGUAGCCAGGACUACAGACAUGGAGCUGAAGAAGCUGGCAACCCAGAAACAUCAGGGGAAAUAAACCAAAAAGCCCCAACAAAUGGCUGCUUUCUCUAGCUAAGGACCAGAAAAUGGGCAACCUAUCAAGGCGAAGAACUCUUAGACAAUAACCUCUCUAUUCCCAACAAUGCCAUGGAUAAAACUGUGACCUCCCGACACACCAACCGACCUCAAGAGAAAAGACUGAGAGAAGUGCCUAGACUCACUUUUCCCAGGCACUAGAGUCAACAACAAAUUGUUAUUUUUACCUUUCCAAGACAAUUAAAAAAAACUCAAAACACUUUAGUCCCUUUUACCUUCUCCAGCCUUUUGUGCUUGUAUCAUGCAUUUGAGUUAUAUGUACAUUUUAAACCUCAAAAGAUAUUAUUAUUGUUGUGCAGCAUAAAUACUCAUUGAGUUUUCCCCACGUAUUUACAUUUCCCAUGAAUUUUUAUAAUUCUCUGUUUUUCUGUGGUCUCAGUAGAGAUUAUUUCCUUUAAUCUGAAGUCUCCUUUUAGUGUUUCCUUCAGCAUGUGUCUUCUGCUGAUGAAUUCUUUCACUUAUCUUCACGUUUGAUGUUUUUCAAUGGGUACAAAAUUAUUGGUUGGCUGUAAUUUUCUUUUAAUACUGGAAAAAUAUCAUUCUCUUGUUUUCUAGCUCUGUCACUUCUUUUGAAAAGUCAACUGUCAAUAUUGUUAUUGGUCCGUUUAUGGUGAUAUGGAAUUCAUUUGGGGAAUGGAGCUGAUUUUAAGAAAUUUCUCUUUACCUUUGGUUUUUAUCAGUGUGAACAUGAUGUGCUUAGACAUGGCAGUUAAUGCUUGAGGGUCACAGAGUUUCUUGAAUCUGCAGCUUGAAAUUUGAGAAAAUUCUUAUGCAGAUUAUCUUCAAAUAUUCCUUUCCUAUAUUUUCUGCAUUCUCUUCUUUUGCUUCUAUUAAUGUAUUUGUAUUUAUCUUUUCACUCUAACUGUAUUUCACAUGUUUUUGGCUUACAUUUAUUUUUCAUUCUUUCUUGUCUUCAUCCGUUGGUCUCGAUGUUUCCUAGUAACCUAUCUUCCAGUUUACUAAUCCUUUCUUUUUCUGUGUCUAGCAUGCUGUUAGUCUAUCUAUUGAUUUUAUAGUUUCAGAUACAGAUUUUUUUUUCAGUUUUAAAAUUUUCAUUUGAUUUAUAUAUAUGUAUAUAUUCAAUUUGGGGUUAAAUUAUACAUCUUUUUUUUUACUUAUUAGUUAUUUAAAAAUCCAUAUAUCUAACUCUAAUGUCAUUCUUGCCUACAGCCUGUCUGUUGCCUAUUUUUCUCUGGGUUUUCCUUAUUUCAAUCUAUAUAUAUUUCAUCCUAGAUGUCCAUUCAAGUGCAUUACAGAUAUUUUGUUUAAAAAAUUAUACAGGCUCUGAUGUUAGAGAUUAUCUUGAAUCAGUUUAAGAAGUGAGAUAAUUGUUCACUGUGUUGUAAGGUCUAUGUAGAUUGAUUUAUUUCCAGUCUGCUCCCACCCUAUCAUAGACUUUUAGGGGUCUUAACUGAAGGUCUAAGGUAUUUACAAAGGAAGGCUCCUCUUCUUUGGCCAAGUCAAACGACACUUUUUUUUUUCCCUCCCCAGUCCCGUAAAAUGCCAAAAUCUCUGCUUGGCUUUUGGGCCUCUCAGUAGUCAUUUUUCAUUUGGUUUAUUCCCUUCUCAAUUCUUUAAAGCUUUGGUUUAGGCCCAUUUCAUAGCCUAAAAAAUUGGGUGAAGAAAUUGGGAAGAAAAGGCAUACCAAAUACGAGACUCACUUCUCUGUGGCUCCUUUGUUCUCCAGGAUUUGCCUGCUUUGAUAGCUCUUAAUUGGAAUUUUUGUUUCCAUAACCGUGUGGGACUGCUUAAAGCUCCAGGUUGUUACUGUUCUGGAGAGAAAGAAGCGAUGAAAAAUGUGCCCACCCACCUCAAUACAUUUUUCUUCUCCUAGUGUUACUGACCUCUCAAGUUGGGCUGUCUUUUUUGAUGGCUAAUGUUUGCAACAACCAUGGAUGUUGUGUUGUCAUUUUUGUUGUUUUCUAUCCAGCUUUUACAGGUUUUCUUGGUCAGUGAGUUGGUUUGAUACAAGCUACUCUGUCACUUUUAAAAACAGAAGUCUUAGAGACGAUGCACUUAAACAAAAUCAAUACAAUGAAAAAAAUUAUGGGAGGCUGAUUUAUAAAAAUGAAAUUAUAAGAAAGGUAACACUGAGUUUUAUUUGACCCCAAGUAAUAUAGCCAAAAGGUUAACAGUGUCAACGUAAGUAACUGUUGAAGUCAGAGAAAAGAAAUAUACCUGCUAGGCUCAGGGAUGAAAAAAUUAAGAGUUUUCAAACCUUGAUACUAAAAUGGGGAGAGACUGUUAAAAAUCAUAUAAUAAGAGAAAUACCUGAGUGCACAAAGUGUUUGGUCUGGAUGAAAGUAGGUAUGAAUGGGGGUUGAGAUGGAAUUAAAGAAGACUUUAAGUAUUUGAUCAUUUCAGUGAGGAAAGUAGAAAUGAUCUGAAUUGAUCUGGAUAGCUAGAAAAUUUCGGAAAGUAUUAAAUUGGUGCAAAAGUAGUUGCUGUUAAUGGCAAAACUGCAAUUACUUUUGCGCCAAUCUAAUAGAUGUUGCCUAAAUCAAAAAAUAAUACUUUUAACCAUUAAGGCUAUCCAACACUGCCCUGGGGUCUUCCAGAAAGUGUUAAGUCACUUUUAAUACUUAAUAUUACAUUAGUUGAUCACAGACAUUGAUGUUAAAAAAGAGAUUUCUUAAUUAGGGGGUGAGUUGCAUGGUGAUAGAAAGACAACAAUUAUUAUUAUUUUAUUGAGAGUGAAUUAUAUACCUGGUGCUUUAUAUAUAAGCAUCUUAAAUUAAAUACAAAUUUAAUACUUAUGAGUACAAUACUUAUUGAAUACUUAUAAGUUUAGGAAUUAGAUCUAAUUUUUAUUCUCACUUUACAAAUGAGGAAACUGAGGUAUAGAGGAUAAAUAAUUGGCCUAGUGUCAAGCAGCUAGUAAAGGGAGGAGGUGCGACUUGAACCCAGGUAACCUAUCUCCUGAGACCACACUUUUAGACAUCACAUUAUGCUGUCCAAGUUAAGAUUGGUUAACUUUAUAAGCUGUUAGUUAUCCUUAAAUAGAUGGGGUAUAAACAACAGCAGUCAUAUUAACAAUGUGUAGUUUAUUUGUUUACCCUUAGAAUAAUGUUGCAAAUAAAAUAGUUACAGAUUCUGUUAUUUGCUAUGUGCUUUAACAAAUCAGUAUAAAAAACAAAGGCUAUGACCUAACAAAGUUUCUUUUCUAAAGAAUUCAGACAUAAAAGCAUAUAAGGUACUGUACUGAUAUAUAAAAUUUGUCAAUCUGUGCAUGUGUGUGCAUAUAAAAUAAAUUUACCAUGCAGGUAGCCAUCUUAUGUUUUAAUAUACCCUUACCUAAUUAUAGUAGUGAACUUGAUGAAACUUGGAAAUGCUAUUUAUUAUGAUUUUAAUACCUACCUUGACUAUCCUGGCUGACUCUUUAAAAUAAUUUUUAAAAGCACACUUUUAGAACUUGCUAGGCAAAUGAUUCUAAGGUUCUGUUUGUUAUCCAAGUUAUCAUUCCAUAACCUUUGUCAGAAUGUUCUCUCUUAUUUAUGACUGAAAUCCUGCAAUAGAAACCAAAACCUAUAUGCCUCUAUUACUAUACCAAAUGAAGGCAAGUUUCAUCCAUUAUGUGUUUGGACCUAUUUGAUGCCAGCCAGUUAACAAACAUUAACCUUUUCCUAAAGAUGUCUUUAUAAUUUUUUUUGUUCAAUUUCUCAUAUGUUGAAGAAUCAAUCUUUAAUUUUGCCUCUCAUGAUUAAUAUGAGGACCCACAAUAGAAAGUAACUGAAAGUAGGCAUUAGAUUUACUAUAUUUGAAAGGUUCACAAAAUAACAUUAAAAAGUGCUAUUCUACCUCAGUAUGAUUAUGACAGCUGACCUCCUUAAUUAACUCUGUAGCUACAUUUCAGAUUUUCUCAGAGCCCUUGACACAAUUGUUUCAGGGUUUGUUUUAAAGCCUAUUUUUCUCUUUCAUUUAAAAAAAAAACUUCAAAGGAGUCUGGUAUUUCAGAAAACUGUCAAGAUGUGUUGAAACGUAUUUAAAAGAAUGCAUAGUUUCAUGAAUUGGCGUGGUUUGUGCACAUUAUUAUUUUUUCAGGUUUUUCGCUACAUAUAAAGAAGGAUAAGAAUUCUGUGUGGGGGAAAUAUUAUGGUUGUCACAGGGCAAAGGGGGUCAUCCAGUAUCUUUCACUUUUCUCCAGAAGAAAUUAAGAGAAGAAUUCAUCAAAUGUUAAUGUUAAGAACUCAGAAACUCUGGAAUGUUUGUCCAGAGUCCCAGGCCUCAGAGCAAAUGCUCUUAUGCUGCUGGGCUCCAGGGAAAGAUUUCAGCCAAAGUCAAUAUGCACAGAAACUCCAUCUGACUGAAACUGUGGAAACAGCUGUAACUACUUAGCUGGAAAACCACCUUAGAUUCCUCUCCCAGAAUACGCUGAUGACAUGGGAGAUGGGGAGCAGGAAAGCUCUGUCAGGAUCUCUCUUCAGCUGUGGUCAGAAAAAAAAUAUUUUCUUUCCCUGAAAGCUGUAAAUAGAUGGGUUUAUCUCUGGUCAUAAUAAACCACCACCACCCCCCUAAAUUUCUUUUUUGCCCUUAAAUUUGCCCAUGUCUCUUCCUUUCUUUGUGUAUUAAUCAGUAUUUGAUUUAAGUCAUCUUUUAUGUGAAAUUUUUAAAAAGAUCCACUUGAUCUUAGAUACAUCUUCUAAAUGUGAUUGGAUGGGAUUCACAUUAGUAUUAGAGACCAACAUGGUCAAUGGAUGUUUAAUUCUGAUAAGGUUUCAAUUUAUGAAUAUAUACAUAAUUCUUUGGUUUGAGAUUUUAUUUACCUCUUAUUGUUCUUCAUGGUACUUUUUUGCAUUAUUCUUAGAAGAAAAUAAAAAAUGCUACCAGAAACAA
Molecule: long non-coding RNA, 5856 nt
Organism: Homo sapiens (human)
Lineage: Eukaryota; Metazoa; Chordata; Mammalia; Primates; Hominidae
Exons: 4
Source: RefSeq, a predicted model, not a curated record